UUGAAUUUAAAGCGUCUUUUUUGGUCACGGUGUACAAGGUCAAGGUUAACAGAGAGCCAUACAUUAUCAUUACCACAAAAAGAAAUUCCUGCAGGUGGGAUGUUAGGAGUGCGGGAUUUUACGCAACAGAAGAGAAUGAACGUUAAUUGGAGCGAAUCCCACGUUUAGUCCUCUCCAGAAUAAAGGAGUUGACUUCCGGUAAGUUCGAACCGCUUUGGCGGGUGACAAAAUGCCUUUUUUAGUAGCCAAGUCAAACCUGGGGGCUUAUAAAUAUCGAUAGUUUACGUGGAUAGCAUUCAAACACUACAAAUCAUCUGGGUAGCGAGACAGUCAAGAACUUCAUCCGGAAUCACCGAACAUCAAAAGAACAGCGACCACAGGAAAAAAAAAAAUGGAAAGUUUCUUGGACCCAAGAGUAGAAGAACUUCUGUCCAAAAAAACAGACACGCAGCGAUUGCAAGCGAUUGCGUUUUCCAUCGCUUGUUUGUGUACCGGACCAACGCCAUUUCAACCUCCUGAUUAUUUUCAUAUUCCCCGAAACAAAGCGGAUACACAAGAGGAGAGCGGUGACGGGGAAAGUGAUUAAAUUAAAGAAAGCAAAAAGUCUGUAAAAUCCGAUCCUUACAUCCGGUUCAGAUGUUGCUCAACGACGUGCAGUGGACCGCGUGACCCGUGACUGAUGCUUGACAAUGAUUACGGCGUGACCAUUCACAUUGCCUCUCCGUGACGGUCAUUUCAAAUCUUGCUCUGCGAAAAAUUGCUUAACGGGUAAAGCGGCAAAUGAUAAAUGUGUAAUAAUUUAUUUCCUUGCUGGAAAAUCCUGCUCUGCAAAAUAUUGCUUAACGGGUAAAGCAGCAAAAAACAAUUUGUGCAUUUAUUCAAAUAUGUAAAAAGGUACAAAUAAUAAUCAUGUAUAAAUGUAAAAAGCUAGGAAAAUAUGUUUUUUUUUGGGGAUGGGAAUGCCACCUCUGUCAAACUAGACUCGAACAGACUACAAAUAAAAUAACAAAUGAAA
This is a long non-coding RNA of Stylophora pistillata, 1015 nucleotides long. RefSeq lists it as uncharacterized. Lineage: Eukaryota; Metazoa; Cnidaria; Anthozoa; Scleractinia; Pocilloporidae. The record is from RefSeq and is a predicted model, not a curated record.